RNAcentral lists this ribosomal RNA (468 nucleotides) under uncultured bacterium. RNAcentral's name for it is "partial 16S ribosomal RNA". It matches the Rfam family "Bacterial small subunit ribosomal RNA", at positions 28 to 523 of the family's 1533-position model. The record is from RNAcentral.
GAUGAACGCUGGCGGCGUGCCUAACACAUGCAAGUCGAGCGAUUCUCUUCGGAGAAGAGCGGCGGACGGGUGAGUAACGCGUGGGUAACCUGCCCUGUACACACGGAUAACAUACCGAUAGGUAUGCUAAUACGAGAUAAUAUACUUUUAUCGCAUGGUAGAAGUAUCAAAGCUUUUGCGGUACAGGAUGGACCCGCGUCUGAUUAGCUAGUUGGUAAGGUAACGGCUUACCAAGGCGACGAUCAGUAGCCGACCUGAGAGGGUGAUCGGCCACAUUGGAACUGAGACACGGUCCACACUCCUACGGGAGGCAGCAGUGGGGAAUAUUGCACAAUGGGCGAAAGCCUGAUGCAGCAACGCCGCGUGAGCGAUGAAGGCCUUCGGGUCGUAAAGCUCUGUCCUCAAGGAAGAUAAUGACGGUACUUGAGGAGGAAGCCCCGGCUAACUACGUGCCAGCCGCCGCGGUAA